ACAACAAGCACCUAUGGAGCAUCCGCACUUGCACAACAAAUUUGACUGUAAGUGCUAUUUUUUAUGCACUUUAAAAUACAUAUAACACGAUGCCAAACUGCAGAGAAAGACCAAAUGCAAACUGAUCCCAUAUACUGUACCAAGAUGAACCUCAAGUACAGCCAAACAUCAAGACCAGAAGUUGGAAAUCUAAAGCAUUAUACCACUACUGAACAUAUGAGGCCAACUAUAUUAGUAUUUUUGAACUGCCCGUGAUGGAGCACCUGGUCGUCAACAACAUCACAGGCUGCGCAUACCGCAGCACAGCUUGGCACUGCUCCCUCGGCCCAGCUGCAUAGCAGCUGCAGGCGACCUCGAGCAUGGCCAUGGGCGGCGGCGGCCUUGAGCACAGCUGGAGCCAAGUCAUCUGCAGAGGAGCCCGCCAUGGCCGUGGGACACCAUAGAGCCAGCUCGUCUGCAGAGGAGCUGGAUGGUGGACUACUCUGAAUCCAUUCUUUUCAGACAACGGACACCGUGUCAUACUUUCCUACUAAUCCAUACUCCCAUGGUAAUCCAAGGUGAAGUUCAGGUUCAGAUGCCCCGAUGGACCGAAAGAACUCCUGCAGAUUUUUUCGCUGCAAAAAGUGUUGUCAUCCUCACUCGUGCGACAGUGAUAUGCGCGAUGAAUCCACCUACGGGAUGGAAUGGGAGGGAGAAGGUCAUCAUGGAUGUGCAGUGCUCGGGGAGAAAACGAGAGGAAGGAGGCUGAUGGCUGUCUGUUGGUCGUGCCAGCAAUGGUGGUCGGUGGCGCACCGACCAGAUCCGGCUGGACCUGCGCGCGGAGCUCCACUCCUCCGCCUCCACCCAGACGCGCGUGUGGCUCCACUCCUCCGCCGUCAAGCGAGCAGAUUAGGAAGGAGCUCCUCUGCUCCGUUGAGGAUGCUCGGAGGUGGGGACAACACCGCCGCCCGCCUGGAACAACGACGGCGACGCAGCUACUCGAGGCGAUGGCCCGAUCUUCUUCCCAUGGAGGAGCAUGGCGACGACAUCCUGGGGACCUCGGCGGCAGUAGGAAACGGGGAGCACGGGCAGGUGGACCUCGGCGGCGGCGCCUGGUGGUGGUUCGCACAGGGAGUGGUAUUCGUGAGGGGGUGCGGGGAGGCAGGUGCGACGUGCUGGGAAGGCGGCCGACGACACGCUAGGCAGAGGUGGGGAUGGCGGCCGAUGGCGCACUGGGUGGUUGCGGGGAGGGAGGCAAUUGGAUCCGGGGAUAAGAUGGGCGGGGCCUUUUCCUUUUUUU
Molecule: ribosomal RNA, 1279 nt
Filed under: Triticum aestivum (bread wheat)
Lineage: Eukaryota; Viridiplantae; Streptophyta; Magnoliopsida; Poales; Poaceae
Description: partial small subunit ribosomal RNA
Source: RNAcentral